This 495-nucleotide ribosomal RNA is filed under the name uncultured bacterium. Its description in RNAcentral is "bacterial SSU rRNA". It matches the Rfam family "Bacterial small subunit ribosomal RNA", at positions 8 to 522 of the family's 1533-position model. The record is from RNAcentral.
AGAGUUUGAUCCUGGCUCAGGACGAACGCUAGCGGCGUGCCUAAGGUAUGCAAGUCGAACGGGGAGUAGGGCUUGCCCUGCUCCUAGUGGCGAACGGUCGAGUAACACGUAGAUAACCUGCCCUUCAGUGGGGGAUAACAGCGGGAAACUGCUGCUAAUACCGCAUGUGGCGCGGCUGAGCAUUCAGCCAACGCUAAAGGAUUUAUUCGCUGAAGGAUGGGUCUGCGGCCUAUCAGCUAGUUGGUGCGGUAACGGCGCACCAAGGCGACGACGGGUAGCGGGUCUGAGAGGAUGAUCCGCCGGAUGGGGACUGAGACACGGCCCCAACUCCUUCGGGAGGCAGCAAUGAGGAAUCUUGCGCAAUGGGGGAAACCCUGACGCAGCGACGCCGCGUGGGUGAGGAAGUUCUUCGGAAUGUAAAGCCCUUUUGUCGAGGACGAAAUUGACGGUACUCGGCGAAUAAGCCCGGCUAACUACGUGCCAGCAGCCGCGGUA